RNAcentral lists this ribosomal RNA (1513 nucleotides) under Piptocephalis sp. RNAcentral describes it as "partial large subunit ribosomal RNA". It matches the Rfam family "Eukaryotic large subunit ribosomal RNA", at positions 87 to 1409 of the family's 3401-position model. The record is from RNAcentral. Lineage: Eukaryota; Fungi; Zoopagomycota; Zoopagomycetes; Zoopagales; Piptocephalidaceae.
CGGCGAGUGAAGCGGGAACAGCUCAAAUUUAAAAUCGUGUCAGGGUGACCUGGUCACGAAUUGUAGUUUGAUGAGGUAUGCUUGGUGGGCGCCUGGGUCAAAAUCCUUUGGAAAAGGGUAUCAUAGAGGGUGACAAUCCCGUCUGUGAUCCAGACAGCGGUCUAUCGUGUAAGCUACCUUCAAAGAGUCGGGUUGUUUGGGAAUGCAGCCCUAAGCUGGUGGUAAAUUCCAUCUAAAGCUAAAUAUUCGUGAGAGACCGAUAGCGAACAAGUACCGUGAGGGAAAGUUGAAAAGCACUCUGGAGAGAGAGUCAAACAGCACGUGAAAUUGUUAACAGGGAAACGUUGGGCACCAGUACGCGCCUCGCGUAAAAUCAACCAUCUCUUCCCCGAAGGUACACGUCUGGAUGGACGAGCCUUAACCAGCCGUUCUUCGGUUCGUUGCCUGAGGGGGGUGGUGCACUUUUGCGUGGGCGGGUCAACAUCAGUUAGGACCGUCGGAAAAUCCUCAAGGGAAGGUAGGUACCGGAUUCGUUUGGUACAACUUAUAGCCCUUGUUGAACGCGACGAUUCUGACUGUGGAGUCGCGACUCGUGCUUCCCUCGGGAGGCAGGCCCCCAGGGCUCUCAAUUUCCGCCCGGGCUAGACAGCUUGCUGACUAGUCUAGGUCUGGAGGUUGAUGUGGUCAGGGUAGGGUUCUAGCGAGUCUCGGACGUUGGCGAAAUGGUUCUCAACGACCCGUCUUGAAACACGGACCAAGGAGUCUAACAUGUGUGCGAGUAUUUGGGUGAUAAACCCGGAUGCAUAAUGAAAGUGACCACAGGGGAGAAGGGUUUGGCUUAACGGCCGGCUCCGCACCCUCGACCGAUCCGAUUGCCCUCGUGGCGACGGGUUUGAGUUUGAGCAUAUCUGUUAGGACCCGAAAGAUGGUGAACUAUGCCUGAGUAGGAUGAAGCCAGAGGAAACUCUGGUGGAGGUCCGUAGCGAUUCUGACGUGCAAAUCGAUCGUCGAACUUGGGUAUAGGGGCGAAAGACUAAUCGAACCAUCUAGUAGCUGGUUCCCGCCGAAGUUUCCCUCAGGAUAGCAGAAACGCGUGACAGUAUUAUGAGGUAAAGCGAAUGAUUAGAGGCCUUGGGGGCGAAAUGCCCUUAACCUAUUCUCAAACUUUAAAUAUGUAAGAAGUCCCUGCCACUUAAUUGGGCUAGGACAAGUCGUAUGAGCGUUUCUAGUGGGCCAUUUUUGGUAAGCAGAACUGGCGAUGUGGGAUGAACCAGACGGGAGGUUAAGGUGCCGGAAUGUACGCUCAUGUAGACACCACAAAAGGUGUUGGUUCAUCUAGACAGCAGGACGGUGGCCAUGGAAGUCGGAAUCCGCUAAGGAGUGUGUAACAACUCACCUGCCGAAUGAACUAGCCCUGAAAAUGGAUGGCGCUCAAGCGUGCUACCCAAACCUCCCCGCCACGGGUUAAUGCGAUGCCCUGGCGAGUAGGCGGGCGUGGGGGUUGUGAAGAAGC